This 330-nucleotide ribosomal RNA is filed under the name uncultured bacterium. Its description in RNAcentral is "bacterial SSU rRNA". It matches the Rfam family "Bacterial small subunit ribosomal RNA", at positions 568 to 898 of the family's 1533-position model. The record is from RNAcentral.
UGUGUAGGCGGUUCUUUAAGUUUGGUGUGAAAUCUCCUGGCUCAACUGGGAGGGAGCGCCGAAUACUGAGGGACUAGAGUACGGGAGAGGAAAGUGGAAUUCCUGGUGUAGCGGUGAAAUGCGUAGAUAUCAGGAGGAACACCGGUGGUGUAGACGGCUUUCUGGACCGUAACUGACGCUGAGACACGAAAGCGUGGGUAGCAAACAGGAUUAGAUACCCUGGUAGUCCACGCCCUAAACGAUGCAUAUUUGGUGUGGGCAGUUCAUUCUGUCCGUGCCGGAGCUAACGCGUUAAAUAUGCCGCCUGGGGAGUACAGUCGCAAGGCUGAA